GCGGAAUGGAGCCGGGGGGCGGAGAUGCCAGCCUCACUUUGCGUGGUCUCCAGAACCGUUCCCAUGGCAAGAUAAAGCUGCGAAAGAGAAAGUCUACCUUGUACUUCAGCACCCAGGAGAAGAGCGCCAGGCGCCGCGGGGAUCUUCUUGGAGAAAAUAUUUAUCUGGUCUUGUUUACCAUAGCUUUACGAAUAUUAAACUGCUUUUUAGUGCAGACAAGUUUUGUUCCAGAUGAAUACUGGCAGUCUCUUGAAGUUUCACAUCACAUGGUUUUCAAUUAUGGUUAUUUGACUUGGGAAUGGACAGAGAGAUUGAGGAGUUACACUUAUCCCUUACUCUUUGCAAGCAUUUACAAGAUUCUUCAUCUUUUAGGGAAAGAUAGUGUUCAGUUGCUGGGGGCCUGGGAAGUAAGAAUGAAGCUUAUAGCUCCCUAUGCAGAGUAAACAGAAGAUUUGGAUUCCUAGACUUGCCCAAGCACUUGUGUCUGCUGUAGCAGAUGUGAGACUUUACUCAUUAAUGAAGCAACUAGAAAAUCAGGAAGUGGCAAGAUGGGUG
Molecule: small RNA, 555 nt
Filed under: Pongo abelii (Sumatran orangutan)
Lineage: Eukaryota; Metazoa; Chordata; Mammalia; Primates; Hominidae
Description: processed transcript
Source: RNAcentral